This 1035-nucleotide long non-coding RNA is filed under the name Cyanistes caeruleus (blue tit). RNAcentral's name for it is "lncRNA (ENSCCEG00000003612.1)". Lineage: Eukaryota; Metazoa; Chordata; Aves; Passeriformes; Paridae. The record is from RNAcentral.
UGUUAAAGGGGGCGGGGCCUGGGCGGUCCCGGGGGGGCUCCCAAUGAUCCCAGCCCCCCCCUCCCCCCUGGCGUUCGGUAACUGGGAUGGACUGGGAUGGACUGGGAUGGACUGGGAAUGGAUUGGUCCAGGGGAACUGGGCCAAACUGGGCCAAACUGGGCCAAACUGGUCCGGACUGGUCCAGGGGAACUGGGAAUUCUGGGCCCAAACUGGUCCAGACUGGUCUGGACUGGUCCAAACUGGUCCAAACUGGUCCAGGGAACUGGGAAUUCUGGGUCCAAACUGGGCCAAACUGGUCCAGGGAACUGGGAAUUCUGGGUCCAAACUGGUCUGGACUGGUCCAGGGGAACUGGGAAUUCUGGGUCCAAACUGGGCCAAACUGGUCCAAACUGGCCCAGGGAACUGGGAAUUGCGAGUCCAAACUGGUCCGGACCGGUCCAGGGAACUGGGAAUUCUGGGUCCAAACUGGGCCAAACUGGGCCAAACUGGUCCAGGGGACUGGGGGAUACUGGUCAGGGGAACUGGAGCAAGCUGGUCCAAACUGGUCCAGACUGGUCCGGACUGGUCCAGGGAAACUGGGAAUUACUGGCCCAAACUGAUCUGGACUGGUCCAAACCGGUUCAGACUGGUCCAGGGAACUCAGAGAUACUGGGCCAAACUGGUCCAGAAUGGUUCAGACUGGUUCAGACUGGGUCAAACUGGUCCAGACUGGUCCAAACUGGGCCAAAGUGGCCCAAAAUGGUUCAGACUGGUCCAAACUGGUCCAAAGUGGGCCAAAGUGGCCCAAACUGGUUCAAACUGGUCCGUUCUGGUCCAAAGUGAACCAAAAUGGUUCAGACUGGUCCAAACUGAUCCCAACUGGGCCAAACUGGUCCGUACUGGGCCAAACUGGGCCAAACUGAUCCUAAGUGGUCCAAGGUGGCCCAAACUGGUCCAAACUGGUCCAAAGUGACCCAAAAUGGUUCAGACUGGUCCAAACUGACCCAAACUGGUCCGUACUGGUUUGUACUGGUGGGGGCAUCCCGGGGUUCCAG